AGAGUUUGAUCCUGGCUCAGAACGAACGCUGGCGGCGUGGAUAAGACAUGCAAGUCGAACGAGAGAAUUGCUAGCUUGCUAAUAAUUCUCUAGUGGCGCACGGGUGAGUAACACGUGAGUAACCUGCCCCCGAGAGCGGGAUAGCCCUGGGAAACUGGGAUUAAUACCGCAUAGUAUCGAAAGAUUAAAGCAGCAAUGCGCUUGGGGAUGGGCUCGCGGCCUAUUAAUUAGUUGGUGAGGUAACGGCUCACCAAGGCGAUGACGGGUAGCCGGUCUGAGAGGAUGUCCGGCCACACUGGAACUGAGACACGGUCCAGACACCUACGGGUGGCAGCAGUCGAGAAUCAUUCACAAUGGGGGAAACCCUGAUGGUGCGACGCCGCGUGGGGGAAUGAAGGUCUUCGGAUUGUAAACCCCUGUCAUGUGGGAGCAAAUUAAAAAGAUAGUACCACAAGAGGAAGAGACGGCUAACUCUGUGCCAGCAGCCGCGGUAAUACAGAGGUCUCAAGCGUUGUUCGGAAUCACUGGGCGUAAAGCGUGCGUAGGCUGUUUCGUAAGUCGUGUGUGAAAGGCGCGGGCUCAACCCGCGGACGGCACAUGAUACUGCGAGACUAGAGUAAUGGAGGGGGAACCGGAAUUCUCGGUGUAGCAGUGGAAUGCGUAGAUAUCGAGAGGAACACUCGUGGCGAAGGCGGGUUCCUGGACAUUAACUGACGCUGAGGCACGAAGGCCAGGGGAGCGAAAGGGAUUAGAUACCCCUGUAGUCCUGGCAGUAAACGGUGCACGCUUGGUGUGCGGGGAAUCGACCCCCUGCGUGCCGGAGCUAACGCGUUAAGCGUGCCGCCUGGGGAGUACGGUCGCAAGAUUAAAACUCAAAGAAAUUGACGGGGACCCGCACAAGCGGUGGAGCAUGUGGUUUAAUUCGAAGCAACGCGAAGAACCUUACCAAGCCUUGACAUCUAUCUGACAGAGUAUGUAAUGUACUUUCCCUUCGGGGCAGGUAAGACAGGUGGUGCAUGGUUGUCGUCAGCUCGUGUCGUGAGAUGUUGGGUUAAGUCCCGCAACGAGCGCAACCCUUAUCCUUAGUAGCCAGCACUUCGGGUGGGCACUCUAGGGAGACUGCCAGGGAUAACCUGGAGGAAGGUGGGGAUGACGUCAAAUCAUCAUGCCCCUUAUGGCUUGGGCUACACACGUGCUACAAUGGCGUAACAAAGGGAAGCGAACCCGUGAGGGGGGGCAAAUCCCAAAAAUAACGUCCCAGUUCGGACUGUAGUCUGCAACCCGACUACACGAAGCUGGAAUCGCUAGUAAUCGCGAAUCAGAAUGUCGCGGUGAAUACGUUCCCGGGUCUUGCACUCACCGCCCGUCA
This 1369-nucleotide ribosomal RNA is filed under the name uncultured bacterium. Its description in RNAcentral is "bacterial SSU rRNA". It matches the Rfam family "Bacterial small subunit ribosomal RNA". The record is from RNAcentral.